RNAcentral lists this ribosomal RNA (465 nucleotides) under uncultured bacterium. RNAcentral describes it as "partial 16S ribosomal RNA". It matches the Rfam family "Bacterial small subunit ribosomal RNA", at positions 339 to 795 of the family's 1533-position model. The record is from RNAcentral.
CUACGGGGUGCACCAGUGGGGAAUAUUGGACAAUGGGGGAAACCCUGAUCCAGCAAUGCCGCGUGUGUGAAGAAGGCCUGCGGGUUGUAAAGCACUUUCGGUUGGGAGGACUGCUUCUAGCACUAAUAUUGUUGGAAGUUGACGUUACCUUCAGAAGAAGCACCGGCUAACUCCGUGCCAGCAGCCGCGGUAAUACGGAGGGUGCAAGCGUUAAUCGGAAUUACUGGGCGUAAAGCGCGCGUAGGCGGCUAGAUCAGUCGGGUGUGAAAGCCCCGGGCUUAACCUGGGAACUGCAUCCGAUACUGUCUAGCUUGAGUACAGGAGAGGAGAGUGGAAUUCCACAUGUAGCGGUGAUAUGCGUAGAUAUGUGGAGGAACACCAAUGGCGAAGGCAGCUCUCUGGCCUGAUACUGACGCUGAGGUGCGAAAGCGUGGGGAUCAAACAGGAUUAGAUACCCUCGUAGUC